GCACCGCUGAGGAGUCCCAAACAGGACGAAACAGCUGUUCAGUUC
This 45-nucleotide non-coding RNA is filed under the name Echinostoma caproni. The record is from RNAcentral. Lineage: Eukaryota; Metazoa; Platyhelminthes; Trematoda; Plagiorchiida; Echinostomatidae.